RNAcentral lists this ribosomal RNA (1109 nucleotides) under human gut metagenome. Its description in RNAcentral is "bacterial SSU rRNA". It matches the Rfam family "Bacterial small subunit ribosomal RNA", at positions 405 to 1520 of the family's 1533-position model. The record is from RNAcentral.
ACGAGACGCCCUUCGGGGUGUAAAGUUUUGUCAGUGGGGACGAACAAAUGACGGUACCCACAGAGGAAGCACCGGCUAACUCCGUGCCAGCAGCCGCGGUAAUACGGAGGGUGCAAGCGUUGUCCGGAAUCAUUGGGCGUAAAGAGUUCGUAGGCGGCAUGUAAAGUCAGGUGUUAAAGGCUGAGGCUCAACCUCAGUAUGGCACUUGAUACUUGCAAGCUAGAAUGCGGUAGAGGUAAAGGGAAUUCCUGGUGUAGCGGUGAAAUGCUUAGAUAUCAGGAGGAACAUCGGUGGCGUAAGCGCUUUACUGGGCCGUAAUUGACGCUGAGGAACGAAAGCCAGGGUAGCAAAUGGGAUUAGAUACCCCAGUAGUCCUGGCCGUAAACGAUGGAUACUAGGUGUUGCGGGUAUCGACCCCUGCAGUGCCGUAGCAAACGCGUUAAGUAUCCCGCCUGGGGAGUACGCACGCAAGUGUGAAACUCAAAGGAAUUGACGGGGACCCGCACAAGCGGUGGAACAUGUGGUUUAAUUCGAAGCAACGCGAAAAACCUUACCAGGGCUUGACAUCUGACGAACAUUCUUGAAAGAGAGUGGUGCUCUUCGGAGAGCGUCAAGACAGGUGGUGCAUGGUUGUCGUCAGCUCGUGUCGUGAGAUGUUGGGUUAAGUCCCGCAACGAGCGCAACCCUCGUCGUUAGUUGGUGAUAUUGGUACACUGAUAUCGACCUCUCUAGCGAGACUGCCGGUGAUAAACCGGAGGAAGGUGGGGACGACGUCAAAUCAUCAUGCCCCUUAUGCUCUGGGCUACACACGUGUUACAAUGGUUAGGACAGCGAGCAGCGAACCUGCGAGGGUAAGCAAAUCUCUAAAACCUAGCCUCAGUUCGGAUUGCACUCUGCAACUCGAGUGCAUGAAGUCGGAAUCGCUAGUAAACGCAGAUCAGCACGCUGCGUUGAAUACGUUCCCGGGUCUUGUACACACCGCCCGUCACACCAUGGAAGUCGACCACGCCCGAAGUACGUGAGCUAACCGUAAGGGAGCAGCGUCCUAAGGCAGGGUUGGUGACUGGGGUGAAGUCGUAACAAGGUAGCCGUACCGGAAGGUGUGGCUG